GACGAACGCUGGCGGCGUGCUUAACACAUGCAAGUCGAACGGAAAGGCCCUGCUUUUGUGGGGUGCUCGAGUGGCGAACGGGUGAGUAACACGUGAGUAACCUGCCCUUGACUUUGGGAUAACUUCAGGAAACUGGGGCUAAUACCGGAUAGGAGCUCCUGCUGCAUGGUGGGGGUUGGAAAGUUUCGGUGGUGGGGGAUGGACUCGCGGCUUAUCAGCUUGUUGGUGGGGUAGUGGCUUACCAAGGCUUUGACGGGUAGCCGGCCUGAGAGGGUGACCGGCCACAUUGGGACUGGGAUACGGCCCAGACUCGUAGGGGAGACAGCAGUGGGGAAGAUUGCACAAUGGGCGGAAGACUGCUGCAGCAACGCCGCGUGCGGGAUGACGGCCUUCGGGUUGUAAACCGCUUUCGCCUGUGCCGAAGCGUGAGUGACGGUAAUGGGUAAAGAAGCACCGGCUAACUACGUG
Molecule: ribosomal RNA, 468 nt
Filed under: uncultured bacterium
Lineage: Bacteria
Description: partial 16S ribosomal RNA
Rfam family: Bacterial small subunit ribosomal RNA
Source: RNAcentral